This 1257-nucleotide ribosomal RNA is filed under the name uncultured Acinetobacter sp. Its description in RNAcentral is "bacterial SSU rRNA". It matches the Rfam family "Bacterial small subunit ribosomal RNA", at positions 77 to 1329 of the family's 1533-position model. Lineage: Bacteria; Pseudomonadati; Pseudomonadota; Gammaproteobacteria; Moraxellales; Moraxellaceae. The record is from RNAcentral.
AGCUUGCUACCUGACCUAGCGGCGGACGGGUGAGUAAUGCUUAGGAAUCUGCCUAUUAGUGGGGGACAACAUUCCGAAAGGAAUGCUAAUACCGCAUACGCCCUACGGGGGAAAGCAGGGGAUCUUCGGACCUUGCGCUAAUAGAUGAGCCUAAGUCAGAUUAGCUAGUUGGUGGGGUAAAGGCCUACCAAGGCGACGAUCUGUAGCGGGUCUGAGAGGAUGAUCCGCCACACUGGGACUGAGACACGGCCCAGACUCCUACGGGAGGCAGCAGUGGGGAAUAUUGGACAAUGGGCGAAAGCCUGAUCCAGCCAUGCCGCGUGUGUGAAGAAGGCCUUUUGGUUGUAAAGCACUUUAAGCGAGGAGGAGGCUACUUGGAUUAAUACUCUAGGAUAGUGGACGUUACUCGCAGAAUAAGCACCGGCUAACUCUGUGCCAGCAGCCGCGGUAAUACAGAGGGUGCGAGCGUUAAUCGGAUUUACUGGGCGUAAAGCGUGCGUAGGCGGCUUCUUAAGUCGGAUGUGAAAUCCCUGAGCUUAACUUAGGAAUUGCAUUCGAUACUGGGAAGCUAGAGUAUGGGAGAGGAUGGUAGAAUUCCAGGUGUAGCGGUGAAAUGCGUAGAGAUCUGGAGGAAUACCGAUGGCGAAGGCAGCCAUCUGGCCUAAUACUGACGCUGAGGUACGAAAGCAUGGGGAGCAAACAGGAUUAGAUACCCUGGUAGUCCAUGCCGUAAACGAUGUCUACUAGCCGUUGGGGCCUUUGAGGCUUUAGUGGCGCAGCUAACGCGAUAAGUAGACCGCCUGGGGAGUACGGUCGCAAGACUAAAACUCAAAUGAAUUGACGGGGGCCCGCACAAGCGGUGGAGCAUGUGGUUUAAUUCGAUGCAACGCGAAGAACCUUACCUGGUCUUGACAUAGUAAGAACUUUCCAGAGAUGGAUUGGUGCCUUCGGGAACUUACAUACAGGUGCUGCAUGGCUGUCGUCAGCUCGUGUCGUGAGAUGUUGGGUUAAGUCCCGCAACGAGCGCAACCCUUUUCCUUAUUUGCCAGCGAGUAAUGUCGGGAACUUUAAGGAUACUGCCAGUGACAAACUGGAGGAAGGCGGGGACGACGUCAAGUCAUCAUGGCCCUUACGACCAGGGCUACACACGUGCUACAAUGGUCGGUACAAAGGGUUGCUACCUAGCGAUAGGAUGCUAAUCUCAAAAAGCCGAUCGUAGUCCGGAUUGGAGUCUGCAACUCGACUCCAUGAAGUCGG